RNAcentral lists this ribosomal RNA (580 nucleotides) under uncultured bacterium. RNAcentral's name for it is "partial 16S ribosomal RNA". It matches the Rfam family "Bacterial small subunit ribosomal RNA", at positions 355 to 928 of the family's 1533-position model. The record is from RNAcentral.
UGGGGAAUUUUGGACAAUGGGGGAAACCCUGAUCCAGCCAUCCCGCGUGUGCGAUGAAGGCCUUCGGGUUGUAAAGCACUUUUGGCAGGAAAGAAACGUCGCGGGUUAAUACCCCGCGAAACUGACGGUACCUGCAGAAUAAGCACCGGCUAACUACGUGCCAGCAGCCGCGGUAAUACGUAGGGUGCAAGCGUUAAUCGGAAUUACUGGGCGUAAAGCGUGCGCAGGCGGUUCGGAAAGAAAGAUGUGAAAUCCCAGAGCUUAACUUUGGAACUGCAUUUUUAACUACCGGGCUAGAGUGUGUCAGAGGGAGGUGGAAUUCCGCGUGUAGCAGUGAAAUGCGUAGAUAUGCGGAGGAACACCGAUGGCGAAGGCAGCCUCCUGGGAUAACACUGACGCUCAUGCACGAAAGCGUGGGGAGCAAACAGGAUUAGAUACCCUGGUAGUCCACGCCCUAAACGAUGUCAACUAGCUGUUGGGGCCUUCGGGCCUUGGUAGCGCAGCUAACGCGUGAAGUUGACCGCCUGGGGAGUACGGUCGCAAGAUUAAAACUUAAAGGAAUUGACGGGGGUCAUAGCUG